UACGAAGGGGGCUAGCGUUGCUCGGAAUCACUGGGCGUAAAGCGCGCGUAGGCGGCUACUUAAGUCGGAUGUGAAAGCCCUUGGCUCAACUGAGGAAGUGCACCCGAAACUGAGUGGCUUGAGUACUAAAGAGGGUCGCGGAAUUCCCGGUGUAGAGGUGAAAUUCGUAGAUAUCGGGAGGAACACCGGUGGCGAAGGCGGCGACCUGGGUAGAUACUGACGCUGAGGCGCGAAAGCGUGGGGAGCAAACAGG
This 253-nucleotide ribosomal RNA is filed under the name uncultured bacterium. RNAcentral describes it as "partial 16S ribosomal RNA". It matches the Rfam family "Bacterial small subunit ribosomal RNA", at positions 524 to 776 of the family's 1533-position model. The record is from RNAcentral.